AAACUACCACCAUCCUAUAUCUUCCCGUAUCUCCAACUUAAAAGCUUAAUUGCUAAUAAGGUAGCACCCCCAACAUCACACAUAUACUCCACAGACCAUGACCUAUUAUCACUGUACGAUAGGUGCCACAAAUCACCGAUCAGACCGAAGAUGCUCUCAUUGAGCUACACAGCUUUAAGAAACCAAACUCCACACCCAGAGUUCAAAUACCGAUCGCAAUGGGAAAAAGAAUGCGCAAUAUCAUUCACGGACAAGCAAUGGACAGAAUCGCUCCAAGCCCUAAAAGGAAUCACCACGUGUUAUUCACAUGUCGAAGCACAUAAAAAGCUACUCUACAGGUGGUACUACACACCUGACAAACUCCACAGAAUUUACCCCCACACCUCGGCCAACUGUUGGAGAUGUGAGACGGAACGAGGCACAAUGACCCACAUCUGGUGGAAUUGUCCGAUUAUUACACCCCUAUGGACGGAAGUCCACGAGACAUGGCAAGACUUGGGGAUCAAACAACUACCACUCACACCCCAACUGGCUCUCUUCCUCCAAUACCCCAGCUCAAUACCUUACACGGACAAACACCUGACAGUGAUAAUGAUCCUAGCAACCCGCAACCUCAUAGCGUGCCACUGGAAAAAAACAGAAUGCCCCACCACCACAAUGCUACAACACAAAAUUAGACAAUACCUCCGAUAUGACUUGCUCACAGCUACCACUCACAAACAGGCUUCUACCACGCUCCUUAACUGGCAAAGGUGGACAGACUGGGUGGCUCUUAAGGGGGCCGCAGACGAGACCCCAAAUACUACUAUAGAUUGACACUAUAGAUUGACACCAAUG
This is a non-coding RNA of Pelobates cultripes (western spadefoot toad), 837 nucleotides long. The record is from the annotation of a GenBank genome assembly. NCBI's taxonomy places the organism in Eukaryota, Metazoa, Chordata, Amphibia, Anura, Pelobatidae.